AACAAUUUCCCUGAACUGAGCUGUGUCACUCCAAGCAAAAGUCAAGAAACAAAAUAUAUCAGUGAUUGAUUUGAACGAAAUGAUACUUUGAAAUUUACACUCUAAAUUGGGAAAAGUACAAAUAAAACCCUAAGCAUUUCUUCGUCAUCAAUUUUGAUGCCAUGGAAAUCACUCUUCUCUCUUUCAGUUCUCCAAUCCACCACCGUCUUCAUAUUGGCCACAAAGAAGCGAGAUUCUUUGGGGGAUCCUCUUCCACCCUCGUAAGUAAUUUGUGUACUCACCGUGGAACAACUUAUAAGCACCCAGUUUUGAGGAUUUCACACAAGGCUCCUCAAUGUAGCAUGCAAGGAAUCUCUAAGAAGCUUGAAAAUGUACCAUGGCUGUUUGGUAGUCCUAAAUUUAUUGUUCAGAAUAAAUUUCCCAGAGAUGUAGUUGUUAGAUCUGAACUUACUGCAGCUGGGUCUGCUGAAGAUGGCUAUUUACUACCUGAGCUGAAAGUGGAAUCUAAAGUCAGGGGAGCUUGCUUUUAUGUUGUCACAGCCUUCAGUGCCAUAUUUCUUUUUGUGCUGAUGAUGGUUGGACAUCCAUUGGUACUCCUGUUUGAUCGCUACAGAAGAAAGUUCCACCAUUUUAUUGCCAAAGUGUGGGCUACACUGACUGUAGCACCAUUUUUCAAAAUUGAAUUUGAGGGAAUGGAGAAUCUGCCACCUCCAGAUACCCCUGCUGUGUAUGUUUCGAAUCAUCAGAGUUUUCUAGACAUAUAUACUCUUCUUACGUUAGGAAGAAGCUUCAAGUUCAUUAGCAAGACUGGUAUAUUUCUUUUUCCAAUAAUUGGGUGGGCAAUGUUUUUUUUGGGUGUCAUUCCUUUGAAGCGCAUGGACAGCCGAAGCCAGCUGGACUGUCUUAAACGAUGCAUGGAUUUGAUCAAGAAAGGAGCCUCUGUUUUUUUCUUUCCAGAGGGAACACGCAGUAAAGAUGGAAAACUAGGCACAUUCAAGAAAGGUGCUUUCAGUGUAGCUGCAAAGACAAAUACUCCACUCGUUCCUAUUACCCUUAUUGGAACUGGUCAAAUCAUGCCUGCAGGAAAGGAGGGUAUAGUGAACGUAGGAUCUGUGAAAGUAGUUAUACAUAAAACCAUUUUUGGAAAGGAAUCUGAUGUGUUAUGUAAAGAGGCUAGGAAGGCAAUCGAAAGUGUACUGACUCAAAGCUGAGAAAUAGACUGCAAAAAUGUGCUUCCUGAAGUGACCUAAUGUACUUAUACAAUCAAAUGCCUGCAUCUUCGUUGGAGAAUGGAUUCUCUCCUUUGAAAUUUGAAAUGAAAGAUCAUCCUUUCCUUAGGUGGGACUAUCUUAUUCAUGUUGGAACACCUGACAUUUGUUCUUCAGGAGAAAGUAGGAGGUUGCAUUGCACUUACAGAAGGAUUUUUAGAUGUCGGCAUCACUUAUGCUUAAGUUUGGACUUU
This is an RNA transcript of Vigna angularis (adzuki bean), 1462 nucleotides long. It is a transcript of the gene named 1-acyl-sn-glycerol-3-phosphate acyltransferase BAT2, chloroplastic, with no coding region annotated. Lineage: Eukaryota; Viridiplantae; Streptophyta; Magnoliopsida; Fabales; Fabaceae. The transcript is spliced from 8 exons. The record is from RefSeq and is a predicted model, not a curated record.